GCUCGCAGGGAGGGCCCCGAGCUGGCCCUCAGCGACCAGGGCCCGAGCUCCGCGGCGGGCACAGCUCCCAGCCCCGCUCCGCGCUCCCGCGCCCUCAGGCUCCGGGGCAGAGCACGCGGAGACCCAGCCCUGGGGAGGAGGAAUCGAGCGGCCGGCGCCUGGCGGCCAAGCACCAGAACCAGCCCUCCCGCCCUGCGGCUCCCGAGCAGAGGCCCGGCUGGAGGGGGCUCCUCGGUUCGGGCCGACCCGCUCGCUCCGGGGAAGUUGGUGGGAACGGGGCGCGGGGCUUACCGCCUUACCUCCGCCUCUCCAGGUGCCUGCCACGCAGCGCUCCAAGGCGGAGCCGGGAAGCGACGCCUCAGCGCGGCUCCUCACGGCCGCCGGCUCCUCCGAGCCGCUAUCCCGCGCCCUGCCCGGCCCGGCUCCCGCCGCGCGGCCCCACACGCUCGGCUGGGCGCCUGCCGGAGCCCGCCCUCUGUCGGGCGCGGGGCGGCCGCGCGGGAGCCGAAAUGGCGGCGCUGCCCUCCCGCCCGCGGGGGCCUCCGUCGGCGGCGUCCCACGCGAGGCGCUCCGUGUCCCGACUCCGGUCCCACACAGGGCGGAGCGAAAGUUCGCGACAGACUUACCUCAGCUCGGGCUACGAGUGGAGGGGUGGGAUGGGUGAUGAGGCAGGGAGCUCUGAGCCCCCGGAGCCUUCUCGCGGGGCUCCUGGUAACGCCGGAGAAGUUGGUUUGUGCUGCGGGGUGGUGUGGGUUUAACCACAGCGGAACGGGCUGCAGACCGCAGUCUCCUCCCUUGAGGCAACAGGAUAAGAUAAAUCAGUGUACUCCUCCAGCCGAAGGCACUUUUGACUUAUCUGAUCCCCGGGGUUUAUGGGGGCAGCUGAUCCACCACCAAACCCACUUUUGCAGUCACAGUGAUGAUUGUCUCCGCUGGGAAGCAGAGGCUCUGCAGCUCGGCACAGCCCUCUGUGUGGUGACAGAGGCCACAGAGCCUCUUACCAUCCCACCCAGCCUGGCCUGCCCUUUGCCGAAAGAGGAGAUGGGGAAAGGACCUGCAGCCCAGCAUGACGCUGCCAGUGCUGUACCUCAGGUUCACACAUGGCAAGCUGGUGACAGUAACAAACCAGAGCCCCAAAAGAACAAGCUACAGACGCAGUUUUCCUCCUGA
RNAcentral lists this long non-coding RNA (1170 nucleotides) under Numida meleagris (helmeted guineafowl). Its description in RNAcentral is "lncRNA (ENSNMEG00000010129.1)". The record is from RNAcentral. Lineage: Eukaryota; Metazoa; Chordata; Aves; Galliformes; Numididae.